This is a long non-coding RNA of Podarcis raffonei (Aeolian wall lizard), 628 nucleotides long. RefSeq lists it as uncharacterized. NCBI's taxonomy places the organism in Eukaryota, Metazoa, Chordata, Lepidosauria, Squamata, Lacertidae. The transcript is spliced from 2 exons. The record is from RefSeq and is a predicted model, not a curated record.
UUGAUGACCUUGGGCCAAUCUCCUUCCUCUGUGCCUAGUCUACCUUGCAGGGUUAUUGUGAAGAUAAACACUGAAGGGUAAAGAACCACAUAUGCUGCCCUGGGUUCCUUGGAAGAAAGGUGGGAUAUAAAUGAAAUAAAUUAAUUUAGUAACCAUGGCAUACAGCUAUUGAGCACACCCUCUGGGUUUAUGAAAUUUUACAAUCCCCAUUCAGUUGUCCAAACCAGGAGCCAUCAACACAUCUUGCGGCAGAGCAUUCCGUAAGUUGAAUUGGAUAAGUAGCUGCGGCUCGCUUUAAACUGAAAGGCAGGCAAAUGAAACAGAAGCUUAACAAACGGAUUUCCAGGAGUGAAAGAGAGAGAGGACUCACAGUGGUUUUUGGAAAGAGCGGGGUGCGUUGGGGGAGAAUUUCCCUACAUUUGUUUACUAAGAUGAUACGGUGUGAGGCAGGCUGUUUAAUUAGUGCGCUCUGGAGGUGCCAUUUGUAAAGCAGGCAUGUGCUGAUAUGAUUAUGUAUUGACAAUUUACAAAAUUAUUGCCAUUAAAUUGUGUCAGAGGGAAGAAAAUUAUUCACCACGUGAAGAGGCUCAUUUGAUGCGAAAUUAAAGUUUGCACUACUUUAAAAGUA